UUUUGAAAAUCAGUCAAACGGUUCAAAAGUUACAGUGUUAACAAAAGUCCAACUUUGACCUGUUGGUGGCGCUAGUGUGGUCUAGUGGGAGACAUGAAACUUGGUGUGAGUGGAGAAUUGACUGUCCUUAAUGAGUGUGCCAAAUUUCAGAAAAAGUUACCAUACGGUUCUAGGGGCUGCCAUUGACUUCAAUGGCACAAGAAUAAUAAUAAUAAUACCUACAAUAACAAUAGGUUUCCUCCUGACGGAGGAACCCUAAAUAUAGCUGCAGGCAGCAAUGGCGGGUUCCUCCUCAACAUUCCAAUCAUUACAAAAUUGACAUGACACUGACAUGUAUUUCAUACAUGUACACAACAUUGGGCAGAUAAUUGGAUCAAUGGCUGAUUUGAAGACAUUUUUUAAAAUUAUUCACAAAUUGUCAC
Clupea harengus (Atlantic herring) is the source of this 422-nucleotide long non-coding RNA. The record is from Ensembl. NCBI's taxonomy places the organism in Eukaryota, Metazoa, Chordata, Actinopteri, Clupeiformes, Clupeidae.